Molecule: long non-coding RNA, 211 nt
Filed under: Elaeis guineensis (African oil palm)
Lineage: Eukaryota; Viridiplantae; Streptophyta; Magnoliopsida; Arecales; Arecaceae
Description: long non-coding RNA (EGUI_LNC015536)
Source: RNAcentral
GUCACUAUUCUUGAUCCAAGGACUAAGUUUAGGAUCAAACUCAUCAAGUGGCAUCUCUAUAAUGUAAUAGCGGUGGGACAACAAUAGCUUAAUGAAGGCUAACAUGCAGUGACAUCUACAAGAAAUGAUACAGAUAAAUAUUUUAAAAUUAUUUAUACAUAAUUUAUUAAUCUCAAUAAUAUAUUAAUAGAAUUAAAAUCAGAUCGGAUAU